RNAcentral lists this ribosomal RNA (444 nucleotides) under uncultured prokaryote. Its description in RNAcentral is "bacterial SSU rRNA". It matches the Rfam family "Bacterial small subunit ribosomal RNA", at positions 355 to 796 of the family's 1533-position model. The record is from RNAcentral.
UGAGGAAUCUUGCGCAAUGGAGGAAACUCUGACGCAGCCACGCCGCGUGCUGGAAGACGGCCCUAUGGGUUGUAAACAGCUUUUGAUAGGGAAGAACCUGGACCUUUCGAGGACCACUGACGGUACCUAUCGAAUAAGCACCGGCUAACUCCGUGCCAGCAGCCGCGGUAAUACGGAGGGUGCAAGCGUUGUCCGGAAUCAUUGGGUGUAAAGGGUGCGUAGGCGGAAGCCUAAGUCGGAGGUGAAAUCUUGCCGCUCAACGGUAAAAUGGCCUUCGAUACUGGGUUUCUUGAGUCCAGAAGAGGUUGGUGGAAUUCGUGGUGUAGCGGUGAAAUGCAUAGAUAUCACGAAGAACACCGGUGGCGAAGGCGGCCAACUGGUCUGGUACUGACGCUGAGGCACGAGAGCGUGGGGAGCGAACAGGAUUAGAUACCCCCGUAGUCC